RNAcentral lists this ribosomal RNA (255 nucleotides) under uncultured bacterium. RNAcentral's name for it is "partial 16S ribosomal RNA". It matches the Rfam family "Bacterial small subunit ribosomal RNA", at positions 524 to 779 of the family's 1533-position model. The record is from RNAcentral.
UACGGAGGGGGCUAGCGUUGUUCGGAAUUACUGGGCGUAAAGCGCACGUAGGCGGCUUUGUAAGUUAGAGGUGAAAGCCCGGGGCUCAACUCCGGAAUUGCCUUUAAGACUGCAUCGCUAGAAUUGUGGAGAGGUAAGUGGAAUUCCGAGUGUAGAGGUGAAAUUCGUAGAUAUUCGGAAGAACACCAGUGGCGAAGGCGACUUACUGGACACAUAUUGACGCUGAGGUGCGAAAGCGUGGGGAGCAACAGGAUU